RNAcentral lists this ribosomal RNA (538 nucleotides) under Paenibacillus sp. FMC W1. Its description in RNAcentral is "bacterial SSU rRNA". It matches the Rfam family "Bacterial small subunit ribosomal RNA", at positions 1 to 522 of the family's 1533-position model. The record is from RNAcentral. Lineage: Bacteria; Bacillati; Bacillota; Bacilli; Caryophanales; Paenibacillaceae.
UGGAGAGUUUGAUCCUGGCUCAGGACGAACGCUGGCGGCAUGCCUAAUACAUGCAAGUCGAGCGGACUUGAUGAGAAGCUUGCUUCUCUGAUAGUUAGCGGCGGACGGGUGAGUAACACGUAGGCAACCUGCCCUCAAGCUUGGGACAACUACCGGAAACGGUAGCUAAUACCGAAUAGUUGUUUUCUUCUCCUGAAGARAACUGGAAAGACGGAGYAAUCUGUCACUUGGGGAUGGGCCUGCGGCGCAUUAGCUAGUUGGUGGGGUAACGGCUCACCAAGGCGACGAUGCGUAGCCGACCUGAGAGGGUGAUCGGCCACACUGGGACUGAGACACGGCCCAGACUCCUACGGGAGGCAGCAGUAGGGAAUCUUCCGCAAUGGGCGAAAGCCUGACGGAGCAAUGCCGCGUGAGUGAUGAAGGUUUUCGGAUCGUAAAGCUCUGUUGCCAGGGAAGAACGCUUGGGAGAGUAACUGCUCUCAAGGUGACGGUACCUGAGAAGAAAGCCCCGGCUAACUACGUGCCAGCAGCCGCGGUA